UACGUAGGGGGCAAGCGUUGUCCGGAAUCAUUGGGCGUAAAGCGCGCGUAUGCGGCCCGGUAAGUCCGCUGUAAAAGUCCAGGGCUCAACCCUGGAAAGCCGGUGGAUACUGUCGGGCUAGAGUCCGGAAGAGGCGAGUGGAAUUCCUGGUGUAGCGGUGGAAUGCGCAGAUAUCAGGAGGAACACCGAUGGCGAAGGCAGCUCGCUGGGACGGUACUGACGCUGAGGCGCGAAAGCGUGGGGAGCGAACAGG
This 253-nucleotide ribosomal RNA is filed under the name uncultured bacterium. RNAcentral's name for it is "partial 16S ribosomal RNA". It matches the Rfam family "Bacterial small subunit ribosomal RNA", at positions 524 to 776 of the family's 1533-position model. The record is from RNAcentral.